RNAcentral lists this long non-coding RNA (711 nucleotides) under Astyanax mexicanus (Mexican tetra). RNAcentral's name for it is "lncRNA (ENSAMXG00005005295.1)". The record is from RNAcentral. Lineage: Eukaryota; Metazoa; Chordata; Actinopteri; Characiformes; Acestrorhamphidae.
AUUUGAAGACACACACAAGCUCAUCUCUGAUUUCCUGCAGUGACAGCAGCCCAGACUGCAGUAAACUGAACAGGAUCUGUACACAUGAAGACAGCUAUGGACUUUGUCAGGAUGAUAGUGUUUUAUCUUCUCAACAGACCAUUAACAGCAUCAGAGUUGCUGCCAGAGUCAAGGUUCUCACCCACAAAUCUCGAGUGUGUGUUCUUUGUUUACGCAAAUGUCACCUGCUAUUGGACACCAGGAGUUGAUGCUCAUCCUGAUACAAACUACACCCUAAACGUCAGCCUGCCUGGGUUUAGUCUUUCUCAGUGUAACUCGUCUCAGCCCAACUGCUCUGUUCCUAUUCACUCUCUGCACCGGAACUACUGCAUUCAGGUCUUUGCUCACAGUAAACAGCAUCCGACUACAGUCAGCUCUGAGAUGCUCUGCCUGAGUGGGAUUGAUGCAGGUAAAAUCCACAAAACCGCGGAGUCUGUAAAGUACCAUAUAAUACUAGAGAUUACACACACUAAUAUACAGCACAUACAGCAGUCAGGAGACUGUGCUGUAGCUCAGUAAAGGUAUUGAUAUAUAUAUACAGAAGAGCAAAGGUUUGGUUGCUGCUCGCUCUUUGAACUCUAUGCACUGUAUGGAUGUGUUUAGUUCCACCAGCAGCUCAGCUGAUUUACUUUAAUGAAGCACUGCUUUAAUAAAUUAGGUGCUGGAUGAUCA